Molecule: ribosomal RNA, 520 nt
Filed under: uncultured Glomus
Lineage: Eukaryota; Fungi; Glomeromycota; Glomeromycetes; Glomerales; Glomeraceae
Description: SSU rRNA
Rfam family: Eukaryotic small subunit ribosomal RNA
Source: RNAcentral
AGCAGCCGCGGUAAUUCCAGCUCCAAUAGCGUAUAUUAAAGUUGUUGCAGUUAAAAAAGCUCGUAGUUGAAUUUCGGGAUCAAUUUAUUGGUCGUGCUAUUGUACGUACUGGUAUUAUUGAUUUCUACCUUCUGACGAACCAUGAUGUCAUUAAUUUGGUGUCUUGGGGAAUCAGGACUGUUACUUUGAAAAAAUUAGAGUGUUUAAAGCAGGCUCACGCUUGAAUACAUUAGCAUGGAAUAACGAAAUAGGACGUUUGAUUCUAUUUUGUUGGUUUCUAGGAUCGACGUAAUGAUUAAUAGGGAUAGUUGGGGGCAUUAGUAUUCAAUUGUCAGAGGUGAAAUUCUUGGAUUUAUUGAAGACUAACUACUGCGAAAGCAUUUGCCAAGGAUGUUUUCAUUAAUCAAGAACGAAAGUUAGGGGAUCGAAGACGAUCAGAUACCGUCGUAGUCUUAACCAUAAACUAUGCCGACUAGGGAUCGGAUGAUGUUAAUUUUUUAAUGUACUCAUUCGGCGUCCG